GGAACAUUGGUCGUGUAUCCCUCCGCCACUGCUAUUUCUGCUACUUCUGCGAUUUCUGCUACGUACAACCGUAUGAAAAAGUUACAUCUGUCAACACAGAAAAUUGCAUCUCAACAAACCUGACAUUGGCAAGUACCUGGACUACAUUUCAGUCACUCAGUAAAGUGAUAACUCAAAAUAUCAUUGUCAACAGAUCUGAAGAAAUUGCCACUGCGUCUUUAGACCGUUUUCGUCAGACGAGAGACACAGUUCUGACUGAUUACUGGUUGCUGUACGUAUCUAUCCACAUCAAGGCUGUUGAGAGAGACUCGUGAAGAUUCAAGACAGCUCUUAGAGGAUUUGCAGUUUAAAAGUGAAAUAAGUGUGUGAAUGAUUAAACUGUGUUUUAUUGAAGUUGUUGUGCGAUUUUAAAGGAAUAAUAAAUGUCAAAUACAGUGA
Long non-coding RNA from Schistocerca serialis cubense, 438 nucleotides. RefSeq lists it as uncharacterized. The transcript is spliced from 3 exons. The record is from RefSeq and is a predicted model, not a curated record. Lineage: Eukaryota; Metazoa; Arthropoda; Insecta; Orthoptera; Acrididae.